UGGGGAAUUUUGGACAAUGGGCGCAAGCCUGAUCCAGCAAUGCCGCGUGUGUGAAGAAGGCCUUCGGGUUGUAAAGCACUUUUGUCCGGAAAGAAAUCCGUCUGGCUAAUACCCGGACGGGAUGACGGUACCGGAAGAAUAAGCACCGGCUAACUACGUGCCAGCAGCCGCGGUAAUACGUAGGGUGCGAGCGUUAAUCGGAAUUACUGGGCGUAAAGCGUGCGCAGGCGGCUUUGUAAGACAGAUGUGAAAUCCCCGGGCUCAACCUGGGAACUGCAUUUGUGACUGCAAGGCUAGAGUGCGUCAGAGGGAGGUGGAAUUCCGCGUGUAGCAGUGAAAUGCGUAGAUAUGCGGAGGAACACCGAUGGCGAAGGCAAUCCCCUGAGCCUGCACUGACGCUCAUGCACGAAAGCGUGGGGAGCAAACA
Molecule: ribosomal RNA, 427 nt
Filed under: uncultured bacterium
Lineage: Bacteria
Description: bacterial SSU rRNA
Rfam family: Bacterial small subunit ribosomal RNA
Source: RNAcentral